This 1260-nucleotide ribosomal RNA is filed under the name Cenchrus americanus (pearl millet). Its description in RNAcentral is "bacterial LSU rRNA". Lineage: Eukaryota; Viridiplantae; Streptophyta; Magnoliopsida; Poales; Poaceae. The record is from RNAcentral.
CUUGUGGAUCGGAGUGAAAGGCUAAUCAAGCUCGGAGAUAGCUGGUUCUCCUCGAAAGCUAUUUAGGUAGCGCCUCAUGUAUCACUCUGGGGGGUAGAGCACUGUUUCGGCUAGGGGGUCAUCCCGACUUACCAAACCGAUGCAAACUCCGAAUACCCAGAAGUGCCGAGCAUGGGAGACACACGGCGGGUGCUAACGUCCGUCGUGAAAAGGGAAACAACCCAGACCGUCAGCUAAGGUCCCAAAGUCCUGGUUAAGUGGUAAACGAUGUGGGAAGGCUUAGACAGCUAGGAGGUUGGCUUAGAAGCAGCCACCCUUUAAAGAAAGCGUAAUAGCUCACUAGUCGAGUCGGCCUGCGCGGAAGAUGUAACGGGGCUCAAACCAGGCACCGAAGCUACGGGUAUCACCUUUGGUGAUGCGGUAGAGGAGCGUUCUGUAAGCCUGUGAAGGUGAGUUGAGAAGCUUGCUGGAGGUAUCAGAAGUGCGAAUGCUGACAUGAGUAACGACAAUGCGAGUGAAAAACUCGCACGCCGAAAGACCAAGGGUUCCUGCGCAACGUUAAUCGACGCAGGGUGAGUCGGUCCCUAAGGCGAGGCUGAAAGGCGUAGUCGAUGGGAAACGGGUUAAUAUUCCCGUACUUCUAGUUACUGCGAUGGGGGGACGGAGAAGGCUAGGCCAGCUUGGCGUUGGUUGUCCAAGUUUAAGGUGGUAGGCUGAUCGUUUAGGUAAAUCCGGACGGUCAAGGCCGAGAGCUGAUGACGACCCUUCUUUUAGAAGGGGAAGUGGUUGAUGCCAUGCUUCCAGGAAAAGCCUCUAAGCUUCAGGUAACUAGGAACCGUACCCCAAACCGACACAGGUGGUCGGGUAGAGAAUACCAAGGCGCUUGAGAGAACUCGGGUGAAGGAACUAGGCAAAAUGGCACCGUAACUUCGGGAGAAGGUGCGCCGGUGAGGGUGAAGGGUUUACCCCGUAAGCUCAUGCCGGUCGAARAUACCAGGCCGCUGCGACUGUUUAUUAAAAACACAGCACUCUGCAAACACGAAAGUGGACGUAUAGGGUGUGACGCCUGCCCGGUGCCGGAAGGUUAAUUGAUGGGGUUAGCGCAAGCGAAGCUCUUGAUCGAAGCCCCGGUAAACGGCGGCCGUAACAAUAACGGUCCUAAGGUAGCGAAAUUCCUUGUCGGGUAAGUUCCGACCUGCACGAAUGGCGUAACGAUGGCGGCGCUGUCUCCACCCGAGACUCAGUGAAAUUGAAAUCGCU